GAUGAACGCUGGCGGCGUGCCUAAUACAUGCAAGUCGAGCGAACGGACGAGAAGCUUGCUUUUCUGAUGUUAGCGGCGGACGGGUGAGUAACACGUGGAUAACCUACCUAUAAGACUGGGAUAACUUCGGGAAACCGGAGCUAAUACCGGAUAAUAUUUUGAACCGCAUGGUUCAAAAGUGAAAGACGGUCUUGCUGUCACUUAUAGAUGGAUCCGCGCUGCAUUAGCUAGUUGGUAAGGUAACGGCUUACCAAGGCAACGAUGCAUAGCCGACCUGAGAGGGUGAUCGGCCACACUGGAACUGAGACACGGACCAGACUCCUACGGGAGGCAGCAGUAGGGAAUCGUCCGCAAUGGGCGAAAGCCUGACGGAGCAACGCCGCGUGAGUGAUGAAGGUCUUCGGAUCGUAAAACUCUGUUAUUAGGGAAGAACAUAUGUGUAAGUAACUGUGCACAUCUUGACGGUACCUAAUCAGAAAGCCACGGCUAACUACGUG
Molecule: ribosomal RNA, 497 nt
Filed under: uncultured bacterium
Lineage: Bacteria
Description: partial 16S ribosomal RNA
Rfam family: Bacterial small subunit ribosomal RNA
Source: RNAcentral